AUUUUUGUGGCCUACCCGGGUUUGUGCGCUUCCCUCUCCCUGGCGGCAUGGGCCCACAGGCCACAGCAGACAUCACCUUCUCCUUGGCUGCCAAUUCCACCUGCUUUCUAUCCUUGACUGGCCUCCGUGCCAACACCAGCACCACCCUUUUCUGGCUCAUCCUCCGCACCAACGGCACCCGGGUGCAGGGCAGCAUUCUCUCUGAACUUGGGGGCGUUUCUGUGCACAAGAAUGUCCCUCGCACCUCCUUCUCUCCGGGGCUCAACACUUGGACCUUCAUCACCUACUCGAACGGGGCAGCCAGCUACCUCAACCACCAGGAACACUUCCGACUCUCAGGCCCCCGCGGCAUUUCUUUUGCACAUCUCAGCUCUUUGCAGAUAACUGGAGCAACUGUGGACAAUGCCUCUCUAGAGUACGGCCUCUCGUCGGAGCUGCACUUCCCUGGCAGCAGCGGCCUGCAGCUGGAGAAUGCCAUCCAGUCAUACCUGGGCAACUUCUCUGUGGCACUCUGGCUCCGAAGCUCCGCCACUCGGGCUCCCAAGAUGUGCCUGGUCAGCUACUCCCUGAAGUGGAGGCGACCGGAGUUUGCGCUCUUCCUUCUCUCCCCAUCCGGACUGGAAUUCCACAUCAAGGGGUGAGCAGGGUUAUUUUCCCUACAACCUGCAACAUGAACUCUUCCAGAAGCACAGAGCAAACAUUUCAUUUCAGGUAGUUUCUCCCUCGAUCCACAUUCAGUUUUAAAAUGUUUUUAAUUUGGCUAUUUAAGGAUGUACAGUAGAGUCUCACUUAUCGAACAUAAACAGGCCGGCAGAACGUUGGAUAAGCGAAUAUGUUGGAUAAUAAGGAAGAAUUAAGGAAAAGCCUAUUAAACAUCAAAUUAGGUUAUAAUUUUACAAAUUAAGCACCAAAACAUCAUGUUAUACAACAAAUUCAACAGAAAAAGUAGUUCAAUACAUGGUAAUGUUAUGCAGUAAUUACUGUAUUUACGAAUUUAUUACCAAAAUAUCAUGAUAUAUUGGAUAAUCCAGAACGUUGGAUAAGCGAGUGUUGCAUAAGUGAGACUCUACUGUAGUUCUGUUUGAUUGUGCUUCAGUAUUAGAACUUUUUUUUUCGUGUCAGGAGCAACCGGAGUUGCUUCUGGAGUGAGAGAAUUGGCCGUCUGCAAGGACGUUGCCCAGGGGACGCCCGGAUGUUUUGAUGUUUUACCAUCCUUGUGGGAGGCUUCUCUGAUGUCCCCACAUGGAGCUGGAGCUGAUAGAGGGAGCUCAUCCACGCUCUCCCCGGGUGGGAUUUGAACCUGGCAGCUUUCAGGUCAGCAACCCAACCUUCAAGUCACAAGGCUUUUAUCCCCUAGGCCAUCGGAGGCUCCUUGCUGUGUUUUUAAUGACAUCUGUUUUUUUAAUCCUACCGCGAGCCACUUUGGUUCAGAGGACUGAGGGCAAGUCAGCUAUUAGAUGGACAAAAAUACAUAAUUAUUGAGCAGAUGACUCUGAGAUCUGAGACAAACAAAGCAAAGGCUGGGAUUCUCUAGCAGUUGGGUCAUGAAUUACCACUCCUCCUGCUCCUCUUUGGUGCUCUGUGCAUUUGGCCUCCUCGGUGAACUUGGAGAUUAUCUGAUAAUUGCCGCGAGAGUCCUGCAGCCUGUGUCCUCUUUGAAAUCAUGACUUCUGUCCUCUUCUCUGCAGGGCCACCCUGUUCAGCGGCACGCGUGGCUUCCUUCUGGACGGGUCCUGGCACCACUUGGUUGUCUCCGUCUCCAACG
Long non-coding RNA from Anolis carolinensis (green anole), 1765 nucleotides. The record is from Ensembl. Lineage: Eukaryota; Metazoa; Chordata; Lepidosauria; Squamata; Anolidae.